Molecule: ribosomal RNA, 449 nt
Filed under: uncultured bacterium
Lineage: Bacteria
Description: partial 16S ribosomal RNA
Rfam family: Bacterial small subunit ribosomal RNA
Source: RNAcentral
AACGAACGCUGGCGGCAUGCCUAACACAUGCAAGUCGAACGAGAUCUUCGGGUCUAGUGGCGCACGGGUGCGUAACGCGUGGGAAUCUGCCCUGUGGUUCGGAAUAACAGUUGGAAACGACUGCUAAUACCGGAUGAUGACGAAAGUCCAAAGAUUUAUCGCGAGAGGAUGAGCCCGCGUAGGAUUAGCUAGUUGGUGUGGUACAGGCGCACCAAGGCGACGAUCCUUAGCUGGUCUGAGAGGAUGAUCAGCCACACUGGGACUGCGACACGGCCCAGACUCCUCCGGGAUGCAGCAGUGGGGAAUAUUGGAAAAUAGGCGAAAGCCUGAUCCAGCAAUGCCGCGUGAGUGAUGAAGGCCUUAGGGUUGUAAAGCUUUUUUACCCGGGAUGAUAAUGACAGUACCGGGAGAAUAAGCUCCGGCUAACUCCGUGCCAGCCGCCGCCGUAA